This 75-nucleotide transfer RNA is filed under the name Gammaproteobacteria bacterium. RNAcentral's name for it is "tRNA-His". It matches the Rfam family "tRNA". From Rfam's summary of the family: Transfer RNA (tRNA) molecules are approximately 80 nucleotides in length. Their secondary structure includes four short double-helical elements and three loops (D, anti-codon, and T loops). Further hydrogen bonds mediate the characteristic L-shaped molecular structure. tRNAs have two regions of fundamental functional importance: the anti-codon, which is responsible for specific mRNA codon recognition, and the 3' end, to which the tRNAs corresponding amino acid is attached (by aminoacyl-tRNA synthetases). tRNAs cope with the degeneracy of the genetic code in two manners: having more than one tRNA (with a specific anti-codon) for a particular amino acid; and 'wobble' base-pairing, i.e. permitting non-standard base-pairing at the 3rd anti-codon position. The record is from RNAcentral. Lineage: Bacteria; Pseudomonadati; Pseudomonadota; Gammaproteobacteria.
GUGAAUGUAGCUUAAUGGCAAAGCCCCAGACCGUGAAUCUGGUAGAUAUCGGUUCGAGUCCGAUUGUUCACCCCA